This 1099-nucleotide long non-coding RNA is filed under the name Lepidothrix coronata (blue-crowned manakin). RNAcentral's name for it is "lncRNA (ENSLCOG00000003839.1)". The record is from RNAcentral. Lineage: Eukaryota; Metazoa; Chordata; Aves; Passeriformes; Pipridae.
CAAGUCUACUUUGGGAUAAUAUUUAAAUUCUUUCACUUAGAAAUAAAGAAAACUAUGUAAAAGAAGUGUAGCCCUAACAUUAGUUUAAGAAAAACCCAAUACCACCACCAACAGAUUUUUAAUAAUGCAACCAUUUGUUGUCCCUGACUUCUAGACAGAGCAGUAUUACUCUUGUAAUACUGUGCUCAUGUUUAGGUUGGAUCCUUUGAAAAUCUUAUGAAAUCCUGGAACUAUAAGGCACAGAAAAAAAGCGAUGGGAGAAUGUAUACAUCUUUGCCUUCUUUGUUUGUUUACUUCAGCCUGGAGAUGUUGAAAAAAUAGUAUAUUAAUGAAGAACAGUACUUUCUAUCUUGCUUCUUAAAAAAUUGUGACAAUAGGAGAAAUCCUUGUUUUGUAAAGCUUCCAAUAAUACAUCUCACCAUAGAUUUAGAAAUAAAUGUCUAGGUCAUGUUGAACUUUGAGUUAAAAAAUAAAUUAAUACAAUAAUCUUUUUUAGACCAACAACUUACUGGUGUUUAUUUAAGAAAAUGCCGAAAAGGAGAAAAUAAAAAAAUUGAAAAAAAAGUGUGGAUAAUUUUCCUUUUUUGAAAACUCACUUCUUCCAUAGUACUUCAAAAAGUUAAUUACCUGGCUUUCACUCAGAUUUCUCAAAGGGAAUUCCGUGUUAAGAAAUGGCUCCUGAGAGAGAGCAUAAGAGCUCUCUGAGGCUCUUACUGAUGUACCACUGACAGUGACGAGCACAAGCUGAUGACAUGUCAUAAACAGAAAACUGAAAUGAAUACGAAAAAUUGCCGUAUGCCAGUUAAUGUCUCUGGAACCUUGUGGAGAGGAAAGCCCUACCUGUGCAGAACCAGCUGUAAGAUCAGACCUCAUUUCUCUAAAGAAGAUCAGCUUGGAUUAUUUGAAGUAAUAACAACAUGCUUUAUGUCUUUACAGUAAGGCUAUGAGCCUACAAGUGGAUCAACAUGAUCGAUCUGUACACCUUUGCUAAGUCCCAGUGAUUCUAAUUAAACUUGAUUGUAGGAUCCAGCUUAUACUUGGUGGUGUUUCUGCAAUGAGCUGUGCCCAGAUGGACUCUUAUGCUUGCAUUGAAUGCACU